This is a long non-coding RNA of Homo sapiens (human), 497 nucleotides long. RefSeq lists it as uncharacterized. NCBI's taxonomy places the organism in Eukaryota, Metazoa, Chordata, Mammalia, Primates, Hominidae. The transcript has 3 exons. The record is from RefSeq and is a predicted model, not a curated record.
ACAACAAGAGCUAUCCCAUACAAAAUGUCAACAAUGCUGAGGCUGAGAAACCCUGUCUCAUACCCAUCUCAAGAGUGAAAACUGAAAUGGGAAAAGACAGCAGGAUGUGGAAAAGCCGUGGUCAGAAAGAAGUUGGGAGGCUUCCAGUACCAGACAAAAUGGAGUAAGGCACUGCAGUCUCUGCCACUGAUCACAACUAAAAAUUCUGGACAAAAUGUAACUAAGGACUCCGAAAAGUAAACAAGCAGCCAAAUUAUGGAAGGGAAUCAAAGCUUGAAGAAACUAUCUGUAUGGGUACCAGAAUCCUUUUAGCCAGGCAUAUGUCUGCCUGAAAUGGACUCAUCUUCCCAACCUCUCCUGCAACUAGGUGCAACCUACCAUGGACUAAGUUCUGCUGUGAGUUGUAGGAGGAGGUACAAUGGGGCACCUUCCUGGAACCUUCCUUACAACACUGUUGGCACAUUUCCUUUUUCUUCUUUGUCACCUCUUUAAUUCAU